CGGACGGGUGAGUAACGCGUGGGUAACCUGCCUUAUACCGGGGGAUAACAGCCAGAAAUGACUGCUAAUACCGCAUAAGCGCACAGAACCGCAUGGUUCCGUGUGAAAAACUCCGGUGGUAUAAGAUGGACCCGCGUUGGAUUAGCUAGUUGGCAGGGCAGCGGCCUACCAAGGCGACGAUCCAUAACCGGCCUGAGAGGGUGAACGGCCACAUUGGGACUGAGACACGGCCCAG
RNAcentral lists this ribosomal RNA (235 nucleotides) under uncultured bacterium. Its description in RNAcentral is "partial 16S ribosomal RNA". It matches the Rfam family "Bacterial small subunit ribosomal RNA", at positions 99 to 334 of the family's 1533-position model. The record is from RNAcentral.